Molecule: transfer RNA, 74 nt
Filed under: Microcaldota archaeon
Lineage: Archaea; Nanobdellati; Microcaldota
Description: tRNA-His
Rfam family: tRNA
About the family: Transfer RNA (tRNA) molecules are approximately 80 nucleotides in length. Their secondary structure includes four short double-helical elements and three loops (D, anti-codon, and T loops).
Source: RNAcentral
GCGGCAAUCGUCUAGUCUGGUUAGGACACGGGACUGUGGCUCCCGUAACCCGAGUUCAAAUCUCGGUUGCCGCC